RNAcentral lists this ribosomal RNA (461 nucleotides) under marine Metazoa environmental sample. RNAcentral describes it as "SSU rRNA". It matches the Rfam family "Eukaryotic small subunit ribosomal RNA", at positions 587 to 972 of the family's 1831-position model. The record is from RNAcentral. Lineage: Eukaryota; Metazoa.
AGCUCCACUAGCGUAUAUUAAAGUUGCUGCAGUUAAAAAGCUCGUAGUCGGAUCUCGGGAUCGUACCCCCUCGGUUUUCGUUGGGCCAUGCCUCGCAAGGGGUUGUGGACUCGCGGGGCCGUUGGGGUCUCAUCCAGAGGGUCUCUGGUAUUUCGCCGGGGUUUUACCUUCUGCGAUGGCCCGCCGUUGUGUUUGGGUGGGUGUCCUUAAUUGGAUGCCCGCUUUCGAACGCGACCAUUUUACCUUGAACAAAUCGGAGUGCUUAAAGCAGGCUCCACCACGCUCGUACGGUAGCGCAUGGAAUAAUGGAAGAGGACCCGCUUCCGCUUCUGUUGGUCUCACGGAGGCAGGUAAUGAUCAAGAGGAACGGACGGGGGCGGAGGUAUGGCUCGGCGAGAGGUGAAAUUCUUGGACCCCAGCCAGACCUACGAGAGCGAAAGCAUCCGCCAAGGAUGUUUCCA